CCUACGGGGGGCAGCAGUAGGGAAUGUUCGGCAAUGGGGGGAACCCUGACCGAGCAACGCCGCGUGAAAGAAGAAGUUAUUCGUAAUGUAAAGUUCUUUUAACAGGGAAGAAAGAGAAAUUGGACGGUACCUGAAGAAUAAGCUCCGGCUAACGACGUGCCAGCAGCCGCGGUAAUACGUAGGGAGCGAGCGUUAUCCGGAAUUAUUGGGCGUAAAGGGUGCGUAGAUGGCAUAGUAAGUCUUUUGUAAAAAUGCUGGGCUCAACCCAGUAGGGCAAAAGAUACUGCAAAGCUAGAGUAUGCCAGAGGCCAGUGGAACUACAUGUGUAGCGGUUAAAUGCUUACAUAUAUGUAAGAACACCAGUGGCGAAGGUGGCUUGCUGGGUCGAUACUGCCAUUGAGGCACGACAGCGUGGGGAGCAAACAGGAUUAGAUACCCUAGUAGUC
This 446-nucleotide ribosomal RNA is filed under the name uncultured bacterium. Its description in RNAcentral is "partial 16S ribosomal RNA". It matches the Rfam family "Bacterial small subunit ribosomal RNA", at positions 338 to 795 of the family's 1533-position model. The record is from RNAcentral.